GAUGAAGAACGUAGCGAAAUGCGAUAAGUAGUGUGAAUUGCAGAAUUCAGUGAAUCAUCGAAUCUUUGAACGCACAUUGCGCCCCUUGGUAUCCCGAGGGGCAUGCCUGUUCGAGCGUCAUUUCACCACUCAAGCCUGGCUUGGUGUUGGGCGACGUCCUCUUUGGGGACGCGCCUCGAAACGCUCGGCGGCGUGGCACCGGCUUUAAGCGUAGCAGAAUCUUUCGCUUUGGAAGUCGGGGCCCCGUCUGCCGGAAGACCUGCUCGCAAGGUUGACCUCGGAUCAGGCAGGGAUACCCGCUGAACUUAAGCAUAUCAAUAAGCGGAGAA
This 329-nucleotide unclassified non-coding RNA is filed under the name soil metagenome. RNAcentral describes it as "partial contains 5.8S ribosomal RNA, internal transcribed spacer 2, and large subunit ribosomal RNA". The stretch from base 1 to 120 matches the Rfam family "5.8S ribosomal RNA", at positions 35 to 154 of the family's 154-position model. The record is from RNAcentral.